Molecule: ribosomal RNA, 371 nt
Filed under: uncultured bacterium
Lineage: Bacteria
Description: bacterial SSU rRNA
Rfam family: Bacterial small subunit ribosomal RNA
Source: RNAcentral
AACGAACGCUGGCGGCAGGCCUAACACAUGCAAGUCGAACGCCCUAGCAAUAGGGAGUGGCAGACGGGUGAGUAACACGUGGGAACGUGCCUUUCGGUUCGGAAUAACCCAGGGAAACUUGGACUAAGUACCGGAUACGUGCGAGAGCAGAAAGAUUUAGUACGCCGGAAAGAUCGGCCCGCGUCCGAUUAGCUAGUUGGUGAGGUAAUGGCUCACCAAGGCGACGAUCGGUAGCUGGUCUGAGAGGAUGAUCAGCCACACUGGGACUGAGACACGGCCAGACUCCUACGGGAGGCAGCAGGUGGGGAAUUUUGGACAAUGGGGGCAACCCUGAUCCAGCCAUGCCGCGUGAGUGAAGAAGGCCUUCGGUU